GAUGAACGCUGGCGGCGUGCCUAAUACAUGCAAGUCGAGCGAACAGACGAGGAGCUUGCUUCUCUGACGUUAGCGGCGGACGGGUGAGUAACACGUGGAUAACCUACCUAUAAGACUGGGAUAACUUCGGGAAACCGGAGCUAAUACCGGAUGAUAUAUUGAACCGCAUGGUUCAAUAGUGAAAGACGGUUUUGCUGUCACUUAUAGAUGGAUCCGCGCCGCAUUAGCUAGUUGGUAAGGUAACGGCUUACCAAGGCAACGAUGCAUAGCCGACCUGAGAGGGUGAUCGGCCACACUGGAACUGAGACACGGUCCAGACUCCUACGGGAGGCAGCAGUAGGGAAUCUUCCGCAAUGGGCGAAAGCCUGACGGAGCAACGCCGCGUGAGUGAUGAAGGUCUUCGGAUCGUAAAACUCUGUUAUUAGGGAAGAACAAAUGUGUAAGUAACUAUGCACGUCUUGACGGUACCUAAUCAGAAAGCCACGGCUAACUACGUG
Molecule: ribosomal RNA, 497 nt
Filed under: uncultured bacterium
Lineage: Bacteria
Description: partial 16S ribosomal RNA
Rfam family: Bacterial small subunit ribosomal RNA
Source: RNAcentral